Motacilla alba alba is the source of this 2435-nucleotide long non-coding RNA. RefSeq lists it as uncharacterized. The record is from RefSeq and is a predicted model, not a curated record. The transcript is spliced from 3 exons. NCBI's taxonomy places the organism in Eukaryota, Metazoa, Chordata, Aves, Passeriformes, Motacillidae.
GGAAACAUCUUCCUUUGGUGAUCAUAAAAGCACCACUUGCAUAUUUCCAUAUGGAAUAUCCUCAGAACCUUGUUCACAAACAUAGGGAGAACUGAGAAGCAAACCUGAGUGGUUCUGGCACCCUAAGGAUUUCGGAGAUAAUAACUGUGAGGAGAAGAGACAGAGAAUCCAUCAUACAUUCAUGCACAGUACCCACAAGGACUUGAAUGACAGAAAGUUCAUUUUUCUCCGAGUGAACAUCUGAUUAGAGUAGCCCAUGCUUUACCCCCCUUUGGGAGACAUGCUGUCAGCCAGCAAAGCCAUGGUGGUCAUCGUAGCUGUCACUGCCUAUCCAACAGCUGCUCUGUUACACAUUCCCUAACCUGGCAAGAACCGUGCCGCGGAGAUUCUGCCGCUUUUCCCCGCCCUGGCUCUGUGCUGCCCUGGCCCUGGCCCUCCAGCAGGCAGGCUGGCUGGCAACUCUCCCUGCAGCUGCUUCCCACCCUCCCAGCACUGGUUCACCAAAGCAGGAGCUCUCCCAAAGGUACUUUCUAUGGCCUUGGCCCUGGAGAGUGAGCAUCACCCCAUUAAGGAACCAGAACUCCUCAGCUGUAAGCUUGCGGUGCCCUAACCUGCUUGGUACCCACAUUGUGCAGAUAGUGGCACACUGUGGGGGUCUUUGCUGCACCAAUGGAAGGAAAUUAUGAGGGAAAAAUUAUGCUGAAGUGGACAUUUUGAAUUAUUUACACUCAAGGCAGAGCAUGGCUUGAUGAAUAGAAAGUUAAUCAAAUCAUCUCUGUAUGUUGCCCCAAUAUGAAAAGAAUUACGUCAGCACAGUAGCCAUGCUCUAGCCAAGCGCUAGCUCAGAACACGGGCUAGGUAAGAAAGAAUUCAAUGCAAAUUGCAUUCAAUAGAUGGAUGUCCUAAGCAUCACCUGCACAGUCAUUUCAGUUUAAUGCUAAAGAGUUCAAAAUGUUAUUUUAAUUACACAAAACUGGGUAUUGUAAUAUUGCCUUUGGAACAAUCUUUUAUAUUUCCAUCUUUGUUGAAGAUGUAAUUAGAACAUGAAUAGAGUUUAAACUGCCACCACAGCUGGUUACACCUUCCUGGAGGGACUUUGCACUAAUGGCAGGUGUCCUGGUUAGGAUUGUAUUUUAUGUCUCUCACAUAUGAGUAGCUCUGUGUUCCACAAUGAAAUCCAGAACUGAAAUCAAUGUGAGACGUUCUUAAACAUCAUACUGUUCUAGAAGCCUGAAGGUAUAGCAAACUGCUUUAAUUUUUUUAGAAUUAACGUAUAUUCUUGCUUGGGUAAACCACACAGAGCUUAAAAAAAUUAAAUUAAAAAUUUUCCCUAAUUUUUUGGCUAAGUGACAGCCAAGUGAAAAAGAGUUAAUCUGACAUUCCAAAUGCAGUGUUUCUUUAGAACUCAGGGGUCAAAAUCUAGCUGUUACUCCUAAUCUGCUGCUCUGCAUCAGAAAAUCAUGAAAUUCAAACUUCAACUUCCCUUUCCCUACAGCUUGCCCCGGCAUGGGAAUUGAUUAAUCACACACAGCAAUCAACUUUUUGGUAUAUAAGUGAAUACAAAUUACAAUACUGAUGGAGAUUUAACUGUUGGUGUCAUAGAACACAGUGCUCGUGAAAAAAACAGUUGGUUUAUCCACUGCAGGGAUUCAGUUACAUUUCCAAAUACCCCUUCAAAAUAAAGCACAGAAAGACUGAGAGGAUGGGCAUUUUAAUUGUUUUCUCUGCCUUUCUAUUUCUCUAUGUUUGUUUAUGUAAUUGAUAAUUUUUAAAAGGAUUGUCUUCCAUUUAUCUCAAUCCUUUGACUUACCAGAGAUAACAAAUUUGCUCUCCCAUAAUUUUGUUGCAGAAGUUCUGGGAAAUCUCAAAAAUGUUAUGAACCUUACUGAAAGUUUAGAGCACUGAAUAUUCUUUCCUCUAAAAUGUGAAUUAGUCACUGAAAUUAAAUAAAACGUGUUCUAAAAAGGGUGUGUGUGUGGGGGGAAUCUCCAAGAAAGAAUGAAUUUGAAAAUACUUGACCAAAAAUCCCUGCUUUUCUGAGUUGAUUAACACUUAGUCCCAGUUAUGUAAAAACAUGACAGAAAGCUAAACAUUAAAGUUACACUUUCUUCUGACACAUCCCCAUUCAGUCAUGUCUGAUGUUAUGCUCCUUUCUAAUUCUGUACAAUAAGUCAGAAAGAGAAAUAAUAACUCUAUAUAUGAAACUUUUACUACAUUUCACAUACAUUACCAAUGUAUAAUGGUAACAGAUAUGCAGUAGAUGUUUUCAUGCUAAAUAUGACGUUUGUAAUGUCUUCUUGCUUUCUUUGCCCUUAUGCAAUUCCGCUUGUUAGGCCAUUUCAAUUGUUUAUACUGCGAGAUUUUUGGAAUAGAUAUGUUAACAAUGCCUGAAAAAACAUACUCAAAUCCCUCAUACUGAUGUUAAUAAUGCACAA